RNAcentral lists this ribosomal RNA (267 nucleotides) under Triticum aestivum (bread wheat). Its description in RNAcentral is "partial small subunit ribosomal RNA". Lineage: Eukaryota; Viridiplantae; Streptophyta; Magnoliopsida; Poales; Poaceae. The record is from RNAcentral.
AUGCUCCCCGGCUGGCCAAACCAGCCGAGCCUGUCCGCCAUCAGGUGCAGGUUGUUGCAGCCCCCACAGCGGGCGACCACCACCCCGUUGUCGUACGAGUCCCGGCUGGCCAUCUUCACGGACCUCGUCUCGCAGACCUUGCACGUGAAGAUCAUCGCCAUGUCGUGCCUCGGAGAGAUCUUCAGGGUCGACGCGUCUCUGACCUUGAAGCUCGACUCCGCUGCCGCAGGGACCGAAGCUGGCCGCGGCGGGGUGCCGGUCUUGUGA